AGAGUUUGAUCCUGGCUCAGAAUCAACGCUGGCGGCGUGCCUAACACAUGCAAGUCGAACGAGAAAGUGGAGCAAUCCAUGAGUAAAGUGGCGACCGGGUGAGUAACACGUGACUAACCUACCUUCGAGUGGGGAAUAACCUCGGGAAACCGGGGCUAAUACCGCAUAAUGUCUUCGGACCAAAGGAGCAAUUCGCUGGAAGAGGGGGUCGCGGCCGAUUAGCUAGUUGGCGGGGUAACGGCCCGCCAAGGCAAUGAUCGGUAGCCGGCCUGAGAGGGCGCACGGCCACACUGGAACUGAAACACGGUCCAGA
Molecule: ribosomal RNA, 313 nt
Filed under: uncultured bacterium
Lineage: Bacteria
Description: bacterial SSU rRNA
Rfam family: Bacterial small subunit ribosomal RNA
Source: RNAcentral